GGGGAGGGGCGGCUAUAAUGCAGUCGAGCGGAUCUUCAUUAGCUUGCUUUUGAAGAUCAGCGGCGGACGGGUGAGUAACACGUGGGCAACCUGCCUGUAAGACUGGGAUAACUUCGGGAAACCGGAGCUAAUACCGGAUAAUCCUUUCCCUCACAUGAGGGAAAGCUGAAAGACGGUUUCGGCUGUCACUUACAGAUGGGCCCGCGGCGCAUUAGCUAGUUGGUGAGGUAAUGGCUCACCAAGGCAACGAUGCGUAGCCGACCUGAGAGGGUGAUCGGCCACACUGGGACUGAGACACGGCCCAGACUCCUACGGGAGGCAGCAGUAGGGAAUCUUCCGCAAUGGACGAAAGUCUGACGGAGCAACGCCGCGUGAGCGAUGAAGGCCUUCGGGUCGUAAAGCUCUGUUGUCAGGGAAGAACAAGUAUCGGAGUAACUGCCGGUACCUUGACGGUACCUGACCAGAAAGCCACGGCUAACUACGUGCCAGCAGCCGCGGUAAUACGUAGGUGGCAAGCGUUGUCCGGAAUUAUUGGGCGUAAAGCGCGCGCAGGCGGUUCCUUAAGUCUGAUGUGAAAGCCCCCGGCUCAACCGGGGAGGGUCAUUGGAAACUGGGGAACUUGAGUGCAGAAGAGGAGAGCGGAAUUCCACGUGUAGCGGUGAAAUGCGUAGAGAUGUGGAGGAACACCAGUGGCGAAGGCGGCUCUCUGGUCUGUAACUGACGCUGAGGCGCGAAAGCGUGGGGAGCGAACAGGAUUAGAUACCCUGGUAGUCCACGCCGUAAACGAUGAGUGCUAAGUGUUAGAGGGUUUCCGCCCUUUAGUGCUGCAGCAAACGCAUUAAGCACUCCG
Molecule: ribosomal RNA, 850 nt
Filed under: Bacillus sp. TNR1
Lineage: Bacteria; Bacillati; Bacillota; Bacilli; Caryophanales; Bacillaceae
Description: bacterial SSU rRNA
Rfam family: Bacterial small subunit ribosomal RNA
Source: RNAcentral